This 74-nucleotide transfer RNA is filed under the name Planctomycetota bacterium. Its description in RNAcentral is "tRNA-Gln". It matches the Rfam family "tRNA". From Rfam's summary of the family: Transfer RNA (tRNA) molecules are approximately 80 nucleotides in length. Lineage: Bacteria; Pseudomonadati; Planctomycetota. The record is from RNAcentral.
UGGCCCCUGGUGUAACGGUAGCACAAGCGGCUCUGGACCGCUCAGUCGGGGUUCGAAUCCCUGGGGGCCAGCCA